GAUGAACGCUGGCGGCGUGCCUAACACAUGCAAGUCGAACGAAGCUUGACGGAUGAUUUCUUCGGAAUGAAACCAGAUAUGACUUAGUGGCGGACGGGUGAGUAACACGUGAGCAACCUGCCUUUCAGAGGGGGAUAACGGCUGGAAACGGUCGCUAAUACCGCAUGAUGUGUUCGGAUGGCAUCAUCUGAACGUCAAAGAUUUAUCGCUGAAAGAUGGGCUCGCGUCUGAUUAGAUAGUUGGUGGGGUAACGGCCUACCAAGUCUACGAUCAGUAGCCGGACUGAGAGGUUGAACGGCCACAUUGGGACUGAGAUACGGCCCAGACUCCUACGGGAGGCAGCAGUGGGGAAUAUUGCACAAUGGGGGAAACCCUGAUGCAGCAACGCCGCGUGAAGGAUGACGGUUUUCGGAUUGUAAACUUCUUUUCUUAGUGACGAAGACAGUGACGGUAGCUAAGGAAUAAGCAUCGGCUAACUACGUG
This 483-nucleotide ribosomal RNA is filed under the name uncultured bacterium. RNAcentral's name for it is "partial 16S ribosomal RNA". It matches the Rfam family "Bacterial small subunit ribosomal RNA", at positions 28 to 507 of the family's 1533-position model. The record is from RNAcentral.